ACAAUGUAACUUAACUAAAAUGUAACUUUCUAUUUAUAAAAAGGAAAAUGAAAAAUUGUAUAAUCAAGUGAAAGAUCUCCAAGAACAAAACAAAAAUGAGGAGUGAAUGUUCAUGGAAAACCAGAGCUUAUUCAGCAAAUUAGUUUCCUUAAAGAAUAUCAAGAAAGAGAAAACAGGUUUAUUGAAAGACCUCAAAAGACUGAAGCAAGACAAGCAAGCUCUUGAAGCAGACUUGGGAAAAAUGAAGACAGAGAAGAAGCCAGAGAGCAGCAAUAAUUGCAAGAUUGAAGAAACUCAAAGAUUAUUUUGAAUUCGUGGCACUGUGUGCACAGUUGUUUGCAGUCCUCCCAGCCAGAUGCCGACCUUCCAGGGCCUGGUCUCCCUUUUUAUGCCUGGGCCUGAAACGUAAGCUCUCAAGUGUUUGACAAAUGAACAGACAACGCCGUGCUGUGUUUGUAGAAGACACGAAGGUGAAUAUGGCAUUCCCCACUGGGGAAAACAAAGGAGGAGUUAGAUAAGAAUGCAGAAAAGUUUAAUAUUAAAAAAUUAGAAAUAAACAGGAGGGUGCUAGUAAGGGUCUCAGGGAGAAGAAGCAUUUGAGCUGGGUCCUGGCAGGUGGAGGGCCUCGGGAGGGGAGGAGGGAGGCCGCGCAGCUGUGUCUCAUGGGCGUGUCACUGAGCGCACCUGCCCUGGGCCACAGGUGGACAGGGCACAGGGCCGGAAAGAUCGAUCGGUGGAGCCCUUGUUUGCCAAAGGAAGUAUCUUUUCUCUGUGAUUUUAUGAUCUUCCGUGUAAGAUACGUACAAAUAAAAUCCACUAACCUGUUUGUAAGAAAUGUACUUUCCUUGUCUGUAAAAUAGAAUAAGAAUCAUUGCUCCUAUCAUGUGUUAUUUGUGUUAAAUAAAAUCAUACAUACUUUGAGAAUUGGGACUGUGAACACAGCCUUCUUUUAGUAGCACACUAGACUGGACACAACCUUGCUACUUCCAUUGUUUUGUUUUGGGUUUUUUGCCUCUUAUUUUUUCAUAAUGCUUUCAUUAGAUAGGCAUUGGUUUUUAUGUGAAAUAUUUUAAUUUAGUUAUUUCUAUGUUUUGAAAAUUUUGGGUUAUUGAGUUACUUUAUCUUAUAGGUGAAAAAUUACAUAAAAUAAAACUUUUAGAAGAAAAACAUGAAAUGAGUCACCUGAAGAAAAAAUUACAGCAGUGUGCUGAAAAUCAGGAGCUUCUGGGUAACGAUGCAGUUCAGCUUAAGGAAGCAAAUGAAGAAACUGAGAAUCUCAGACCUGAGGGGAAUGAUCGCUCCAGAAUGUGUUCCUCUAGAUGAACGCUGUUAGCUUUAACAGCCAGCUCUUUGCCUCAUGUCACUGAACCAGUGCUCUAAAUUCUGCUAAUUAAAACAUCUGAUUUGGGCUUGGUUUGCUUUUCUUUGUGUAGUCUGUUUUAGAUUCAACUGAGAAUACAGUCCGCUGUCCAUACCUAGGGGCUCCCUACCCAGCAGAUUCAACCAACUGUGGAUUGAAAGUAUUUGGGAAAAAGCAGGAAGUUCCACAAAGCAACACUUGAAUUUGCCACACACCAGCAACUACUUACAUAGCAUUCACUUUGCAUCAUAUACCAUGAGUAAUCUAGAGGUGAUUUGAAGGAUACGGGAGGAUGCACGUAAGUUCCAUGCAAGUCCUCUGCCACUUUAUACAAGAGACAUCAGCAUCCGUGGACGUUGUCAUCUGGGGGGAGUCCUGGAACCAGUGCCCCAUGGUUACUGAGGGACUGGAAGUCCAGGCUCCUUAUCCCAGCCUGGCAGGUCCCCACAUGGUCUGAAUUCUGCCUGUGCCACACUUCCCUGGUCACUCUCCUCCAGCCCUGCCAGACUGCCCUCUGAUUCUUGAACAGGCCACACUCAUUGCAUUUCAUGUCUGGCCCCUAGAAAUACCC
RNAcentral lists this long non-coding RNA (1931 nucleotides) under Camelus dromedarius (Arabian camel). RNAcentral describes it as "lncRNA (ENSCDRG00005006111.1)". Lineage: Eukaryota; Metazoa; Chordata; Mammalia; Artiodactyla; Camelidae. The record is from RNAcentral.